This 211-nucleotide unclassified non-coding RNA is filed under the name rhizosphere metagenome. Its description in RNAcentral is "partial ribosomal RNA internal transcribed spacer region". The record is from RNAcentral.
GUAGGUGAACCUGCGGAAGGAUCAUUCAUAAUAAGUGUUUUACUGCACUUUUUAAAUAAGUACUCACCUUGUGUGCAAUGUUUGCUGGGUCGCGUCGUUCACGCGUCGCGUCAUCAGCAUAAUACCAACCUUUUAUUGAAAUUUUUUGUCUGAAGCUAUUUUGAAUAAAUAAUUCUAAAUACAACUUUCAACAACGGAUCUCUUGGCUCUC